Molecule: ribosomal RNA, 515 nt
Filed under: uncultured Bacillota bacterium
Lineage: Bacteria; Bacillati; Bacillota
Description: bacterial SSU rRNA
Rfam family: Bacterial small subunit ribosomal RNA
Source: RNAcentral
GAGUUUGAUCCUGGUUCAGGACGAACGCUGGCGGCGUGCUUAACACAUGCAAGUCGAGCGAAGUGUUUAGUGAGAUCUAUUCGUAGUGAUCACUAAACAUCUUAGCGGCGGACGGGUGAGUAACGCGUGAGAAACCUGCCUUUCACAAGGGGAUAGCCUCGGGAAACUGGGAUUAAUACCCUAUGAUACUCUAUCUUCACCUGAAGAAAGAGUUAAAGCGUAAAGCGGUGAAAGAUGGUCUCGCGUCCCAUUAGUUAGUUGGUGAGGUAAUGGCUUACCAAGACGAUGAUGGGUAACCGGCCUGAGAGGGUGAACGGUCACACUGGAACUGAGACACGGUCCAGACUCCUACGGGAGGCAGCAGUGGGGAAUAUUGCACAAUGGAGGAAACUCUGAUGCAGCGACGCCGCGUGAAUGAUGAAGGCCUUCGGGUCGUAAAAUUCUGUCCUAGGGGACGAUAAUGACGGUACCCUAGGAGGAAGCCCCGGCUAACUACGUGCCAGCAGCCGCGGUAA